CUUAGAGAGCUUGCUUUCUCAAGCGAGUGGCGAACGGGUGAGUAACGCGUGAGGAACCUGCCUCAUACAGGGGGAUAACGAUUGGAAACGAUUGCUAAUACCGCAUAAGCGCACAGCUUCGCAUGAAGCAGUGUGAAAAACUCCGGUGGUACAAGAUGGACCCGCGUCUGAUUAGCUGGUUGGUGAGGUAACGGCCCACCAAGCCGACGAUCCAUAGCCGACCUGAGAGGGUGACCGGCCACAUUGGGACUGAGACACGGCCCAAACUCC
This 270-nucleotide ribosomal RNA is filed under the name uncultured Lachnospiraceae bacterium. RNAcentral describes it as "partial 16S ribosomal RNA". It matches the Rfam family "Bacterial small subunit ribosomal RNA", at positions 70 to 339 of the family's 1533-position model. Lineage: Bacteria; Bacillati; Bacillota; Clostridia; Lachnospirales; Lachnospiraceae. The record is from RNAcentral.